GAGUAACGCGUAAGCAAUCUGCCCCUAAGACGAGGAUAACAGUUGGAAACGACUGCUAAGACUGGAUAGGAGACAAGAAGGCAUCUUCUUGUUUUUAAAAGACCUAGCAAUAGGUAUGCUUAGGGAGGAGCUUGCGUCACAUUAGUUAGUUGGUGGGGUAAAGGCCUACCAAGACUAUGAUGUGUAGCCGGGCUGAGAGGUUGAACGGCCACAUUGGGACUGAGACACGGCCCAAACUCCUACGGGAGGCAGCAGUAGGGAAUUUUCGGCAAUGGAGGAAACUCUGACCGAGCAACGCCGCGUGAACGAUGAAGUAUUUCGGUACGUAAAGUUCUUUUAUUAGGGAAGAAUAAAUGAUGGAAAAAUCAUUCUGACGGUACCUAAUGAAUAAGCCCCGGCUAACUAUGUGCCAGCAGCCGCGGUAAUACAUAGGGGGCAAGCGUUAUCCGGAAUUAUUGGGCGUAAAGGGUGCGUAGGCGGUUAAAUAAGUUUAUGGUCUAAGUGCAAUGCUCAACAUUGUGAUGCUAUAAAAACUGUUUAGCUAGAGUAAGAUAGAGGCAAGUGGAAUUCCAUGUGUAGUGGUAAAAUGCGUAAAUAUAUGGAGGAACACCAGUAGCGAAGGCGGCUUGCUGGGUCUUUACUGACGCUGAGGCACGAAAGCGUGGGGAGCAAACAGGAUUAGAUACCCUGGUAGUCCACGCCGUAAACGAUGAGUACUAAACGUUGGGUAAAACCAGUGUUGAAGUUAACACAUUAAGUACUCCGCCUGAGUAGUACGUACGCAAGUAUGAAACUUAAAGGAAUUGACGGGACUCCGCACAAGCGGUGGAUCAUGUUGUUUAAUUCGAAGGUACCCGAAAAACCUCACCAGGUCUUGACAUGCUUCUGCAAAGCUGUAGAAACACAGUGGAGGUUAUCAGUUGCACAGGUGGUGCAUGGUUGUCGUCAGCUCGUGUCGUGAGAUGUUGGGUUAAGUCCCGCAACGAGCGCAACCCUUAUUGUUAGUUACCAGCACGUAAUGGUGGGGACUUUAGCAAGACUGCCAGUGAUAAAUUGGAGGAAGGUGGGGACGACGUCAAAUCAUCAUGCCCCUUAUGACCUGGGCUACAAACGUGAUACAAUGGCUGUUACAAAGGGUAGCUGAAGCGCAAGUUUUUGGCGAAUCUCAAAAAAACAGUCUCAGUUCGGAUUGAAGUCUGCAACUCGACUUCAUGAAGUUGGAAUCGCUAGUAAUCGCGAAUCAGCAUGUCGCGGUGAAUACGUUCUCGGGGUUUGUACACACCGCCCGUCAAACCACGAAAGUUGGCUAAUACCCAAAGCCGGUGGCCUAA
RNAcentral lists this ribosomal RNA (1331 nucleotides) under 'Capsicum annuum' yellow crinkle phytoplasma. RNAcentral describes it as "bacterial SSU rRNA". It matches the Rfam family "Bacterial small subunit ribosomal RNA", at positions 108 to 1438 of the family's 1533-position model. The record is from RNAcentral. Lineage: Bacteria; Bacillati; Mycoplasmatota; Mollicutes; Acholeplasmatales; Acholeplasmataceae.